UCACCAGUAUGGAGAAACCUGGUUUCAAGUAGCUCUAAGAUGGAGGGCUAUAAAGUUUUCAAAGGGCCUUGGAUUGUGCUUAUGUAUACUUGCUCAAAAAUUAGCAAAAUUUUACCUUAACAGGUUUCAUUAUAGUCUUGGUUAAGGACAAGAAAUGAAGUUGGGAAUUCCCAGAGGUAAGUUCCAUUGCUAAGAUGACUGAAGGGGUAAGAAUUGUUCUAAGUGAUAAUUAACACUUGUUAAAAUCUUACAAAUUUACAUUGUCUUUCAGGAGUGACAUCAGCAAGACGGUGGACUAGGAAGCCUCAGGUCCUUGUUCCCUAGUGAAAAAAAAAAAAAACCUAAUAAAAAACUAUAGGGUGACUAAAGUAAUGUUUUAUGACCUCUGGAAACUACUCAGAUCUAUCACAACCAAGCAAAUACCCAAUCAUGAAAAGUCUACAGUCAAAAUCGUAGGAAAGUUCAUGGCAUUUUUACUUGCUGUUGUUUCAUCUCCUCCACAGCAUUGCACAGCCCAGUUGGGAGUAAACAGCACAAUUCCCAGUACAAUACAUAUGCAAUAUUCUAACCUGUCUAGGAGCCCAUAAAGGGACUGAAUUUUGUCUUGCCUGAUUCAUAGAUCACGUUUGUUUGUCUGUUUGAUUGUUUGUUUCUUUGUUUUUCCCCAAAUGCAGCCACAGCAUGCAGAAGUUCCAGGGCCAGGGAACAGACCCUGGCCACAGCUAUGAUCUGAGCCACAGCAAUGACAAUGCCGUAUCCUUGACCUGCUACACCACCAGAGAACUCCAGAGAUCAUAGUUUUGAUCUCAGGCUGGCAAACACUCUGGAAGGCACCAUGGCACAAGGAAACUGCAGGAGAGAUGUACACCUGUGUGCAGCUGGGAUCAAGAGCUUAUGGGCAAGGAAAUACAGUUAAACAUUCAAAGCCCUGAAAAGCUGGGAUGAGACUCUUUGGGAAAUUCAAACUUUCAAGUAGCCACAUAUUUGAGGGAAAUCAGGAGGUGAAAAAAAGUAUACACAAAGGCCCAAGAAGAAUGCAUUUCUAGGAAAAAAAAAAAUCUGAGACUACCUUAAGCUUUUAUUCUGUGCUAGUCCUAAGGCCCAAGAGCCUGCUAAUUAGUGAGGCUCUUCCACAUCAGCCUGUAAAGACUGGGAGAUCUUUUUUCAAAUCGCCAGUUUUCAACAGAACAUCACGAGACAUACAGAGCAAAGAAAAGAAUGGUCUUUUAAAAAGAACAAAACCCCUAGAAACUCUCUGAUAAAACACAAGCAUCAGCUUUACCAGAAGAUUUUAAAAUUUGCUCAAAGAGCAAAUGUACAACAUGGCCAAAGAACUAAAGUAAAUCAGGAAAAUUAUAUACAAACAAAGUGAGAAUAUCAACAAAGAGAUGGAAAUUAUUAAAAAGAAAAAAAA
Molecule: long non-coding RNA, 1414 nt
Filed under: Sus scrofa (pig)
Lineage: Eukaryota; Metazoa; Chordata; Mammalia; Artiodactyla; Suidae
Description: lncRNA (ENSSSCG00015002281.1)
Source: RNAcentral